ACGCUCGACACCUACGGGAGGCCGCAGUGGGGAAUAUUGGGCAAUGGGCGCAAGCCUGACCCAGCAACGCCGCGUGAAGGAAGAAGGCCCUCGGGUUGUAAACUUCUUUUGUCAGGGACGAAGCAAGUGACGGUACCUGACGAAUAAGCCACGGCUAACUACGUGCCAGCAGCCGCGGUAAUCUGAGCGGGCUGGCAAGGC
This 201-nucleotide ribosomal RNA is filed under the name uncultured bacterium. RNAcentral describes it as "partial 16S ribosomal RNA". It matches the Rfam family "Bacterial small subunit ribosomal RNA", at positions 328 to 539 of the family's 1533-position model. The record is from RNAcentral.